RNA transcript from Musa acuminata AAA Group (dessert banana), 3597 nucleotides. It is a transcript of the gene named probable ubiquitin-like-specific protease 2B, with no coding region annotated. NCBI's taxonomy places the organism in Eukaryota, Viridiplantae, Streptophyta, Magnoliopsida, Zingiberales, Musaceae. The transcript has 17 exons. The record is from RefSeq and is a predicted model, not a curated record.
AUGAGAGGCUCGUCGCAGAAGGAUCUCGCCGUCUUCGAUUUCAGCGAAGAGGAGGCAGCCGUGGAGGCGGCGGCUGGGAGAUUCACGGCGAAGUUGCAGUCCAGAUUGAGGCCUAGGAUGGACGACACGGUCAACAAGAACCAGUUCCUCGAGGCCUACACGUCAGGCUUGACUUUCAAGGGUGAUGUGACCAACAUCAUAUGUGUAGAUAUGCACGAAAGAGACAAUGACACAGGUUCCUAUGCUAUCGAUGGACCAGAGCAGGGCCUUGCUUUGGGUGAUGAGAAAGCAGAGUUGGAUGAAAUCAUGUCUUCCUCUACAAAAUAUGAUGAGCAUGAUCAGAUUUUUCCAGAUAAUUUUGAAGAUGAAAAUCUAACGAGGAAGGAUACUAAGGCUGUUGGAGAUUCUGUUCUUCAGAACCCUAUAGGCAACAAACAUUUCUUGGACUUUCCUGCUGAUGGGAUGGCAGUUGAUGUGGUUUCUGAAGAUGAAGAAAGCUGGUCCUUGAUGUCUGGAUCUGAAUCAAGUACUGCUUCUGAUACUCCAGAGGAUGAAGGCCAGAUGGAGUGCCCAGAGUUGGAAAAUUGUUAUGCUGCAAUGGGAGAUGUGCAGUUUAACAAUCAGAUGUCAGUCAUGAUCUACCCUGACUAUGUCAUACAUGGGAACACUUUGUAUGGAGAUUCUCAGCUUGUCUUCUCUUCAGAUUGCAUUAAGAUUGAGUGUUCAGAUGCAAGUGGAAGUGAUGAAAAGUUUGCUUCUGAAUGGGCUGUUUCUGAUAUAGUUCAUAUUGAUUGUCGGUGGAGUGGAACUGUAACUACUGCAUUGGUUAAACUUUGCCUUAGAGCAAAUGAUGUGACUAAAAGUGAGAAACAUCAUAAUGUUUCUGAUGUUUUGAAGGUAAUUUUUUCUGUGAACGACAUGCGUUGGUUGGAGAAGGAACACAAGAUUAGAAAUCUGGCAGCAAGAUAUAGAGAUAUAUGGAAUGCAAAUUCUGGAGAUAUGGUGUGGGAAGAUGACUCACUGGAUCCUAGUGCAUUAUUUUCAAGGGACUACUUCACAGAUCUGCUUUGCUUCAGAAUUGCAGAUUCCGUUGUAGAUGUUGUGUACCCUAAAGGCGAUCCUGAUGCUGUUUCUAUAAGUAAAAGAGAUGUUGAUCUAUUACAACCUGAGACAUUCAUCAAUGACAACAUUAUCGACUUCUAUAUCAAGUACUUGAAGAACAAGAUUCAACCUGAUCAGAAGCAUAGGUUUCAUUUCUUUAACAGCUUUUUCUUCCGUAAGCUAGCAGAUCUUGACAAGGACCGGGGUUGUGUCUCAGAAGGCAGAGCAGCUUUCCUGCGUGUCCGUAAAUGGACUCGGAAAGUAAAUAUAUUUGAGAAGGACUACAUAUUCAUACCUGUAAACUUCAACCUGCACUGGAGUUUGCUCAUUAUUUGUCAUCCAGGAGAAGUAGCAAACUUGGAAGAUAAUGAAAUUGAUUCUGACAAAGUGCCUUGUAUAUUACACAUGGAUUCUAUCAAGGGCAGUCAUAGUGGUCUUAAGAAUAUUAUCCAAAGUUACAUGUGGGAAGAAUGGAAGGAGAGACACCCAGAAACAACUGAAGAUGAUUCUUUGAAAUACUUAAAUUUAAGAUUUGUCUCGCUUGAGUUGCCACAACAGGAGAAUUCAUUUGAUUGUGGUCUCUUUUUACUCCACUAUGUUGAGUUGUUUCUGGAAGAGGCUCCUGUGAGUUUUGACCCAUUCAAAGUCACCAAGUUCUCCAGCUUUCUCAGUGCUGAUUGGUUUCCACCUGCUGAGGCUUCUCUAAAGCGUUCUCUUAUCUGGAAGCUGAUAUAUGAACUUAACAACCCUACUCAGAAAAUUAAUACUAGCACAUGCAGCAAAGUGCAUCCUUCAUCCUCAGGGUAUCCUGAAAUUAACGUUGAGCAAGAACAUGUAGAACUUCUUUCUGCACACUGCAGCCCAGCCAAAGGAUUAGUGGGUGAUGCAGUAUGUCCUGAUGCUGGAGUUGGAAAUGAAUUUGGACAUCUGGCAUCAUCUUCUGGUACCAAAUGUGAUGAACAAACAAGAUUGAUGAUUCCAGAAUUUCUUGAACCAGGAGAAAAUACAAUGUCUUCACCCAAGCAUGGAGCUGAUGUUCACCAGCAUACUGCAACUUCAUCAAACCUGUUAUUUGUUUCAUGCCCAAUAUUGGAGCAUGCUGAUGGAAGGGAACAUUUAUCUUCCUCUUGCCUGGGGAAAGAAGAUUGUCAGCCACAGGAUGGAAGCCCUAAUGCCCAGUUUUGUAUGAACUCUAUGAAUGUAACUAGUGCCAAUGUAACACCCUGGAGCACUGCAGAUGAAAAGGAUGCAGAUACAGAUCUGGCAUCUGAAUGCAUGAAUUCCAACAGUAUGAAUAUCGAUCAAAGAGAGCAAGAUGAAAAAAUGAGGUUGGCUUCACCAGAGAAUUUUGGUUAUGUUCCAGAGAGCCCUACUUCGUCUCCUAGAGAAAAGCUGGAUGGUUUUGUUAAAGAUUCUCAAGAAAAUGAUGCAUCUAAAGCAGAGGGCACAGAUUGUGAAGGUUCUCUGAGAAUUUGCACCGGGGAGACAGAUUGUCAGAUCAUAGAUGGUGGGGACAUCGGCACACAUGCUUAUGGGGUCAGUGAUGUUACAGAUUGUAUGGUAAUGGAUGGUAGGGGAACAGUGGAUGGGCAUGAUGAGUGCAUCGAACUUGGCACCCAAGAGAGUGGAGAUGGUGAGGAUUGCCAGGAAACUCGUUCUGAAGCCAGACAGGAUGAUAACCAUCAGGAAACCCACAGCGUGGACAUCAGUAGUGGCGAUGGCAACUGCAAAGUGAAUUUGCCUUCUUCAUUUGAAGAUAUCAUCGUUACUGACGAUGUGAAGCCUUUGGACAAGGAUGAUGUUCAAGUGAUAGGGCGAAUACUAGUGCGGCAGCCACACAAGCGGCGUAAGGUCACGAUCCCUGAAGGAACUAGAAUGCGCACCCGGAGCUUCACCAGAGAAAGCCAUAAUAAUGGUACAUGACUCUCUCAAUCAAAUAGGUCAUCAUUGGUUUGUUUUGUAGCAACAUGUAAAUAAUUUUGCAAGAUAUCAAAGACUGGAAUUGGUGCUUUAUAGAAGAUGGAAUUUCUGCAGUAACUUCCAUCCAAUAUCCUUGGCUACGUUAAAAAAUAGUCCCCGAGGAUUUCUUCUAUAGUUAAUUGGGUUUUUAUACAUAAAUACCAAAUGACUUUCUGCGAAUGGUUACAAGCGGAUGUGUAUACACACGACGUAUAUGUUGCACAUGGAAGGGUUUCUUGACAUUUCAGGGUUAAGGGUGAUCUCUGAUGUAAUGGUAAAUAUUGCUCAGUUGUAGUUUGGAUGUUGGAUUCAUGUCAUGGUAAUCUUGAAACAAGGCUGCAGACAUUGUUCCUUCCGGAUCCUGUAUUGAUGGGAUUUCUGUGCCCAUUGAGAUGAGCCUUGAUGAGUGCGUCGAACUUGGCACCCAAGAGAGUGGAGAUGGUGCAGGACAGCGUUUGUUUUGUUUGAUCAUAUGUUGGUGUGAGGUAUUUUAUAUGUAGGUGCAUCCGUCAUCCAUGAUCAUAAAAUUAUUUUCAA